CUACCAAAACUCAAAACAUAUACCCGGUAAAAAUGAUAAUAGUUUUCGGUUGGGGCGACCCUGGAGAAAAAUAAAUCCUCCAAGCUGAAUGAUCAAAAAUCUAAUGUUAGAGCAACAACUCAAACAAUCAAAACCUUGACAAAAUGACCCAGAAUUCAUCUGACCAACGAACCAAGUUACCCUGGGGAUAACAGCGC
Molecule: ribosomal RNA, 197 nt
Filed under: Hyperolius spatzi
Lineage: Eukaryota; Metazoa; Chordata; Amphibia; Anura; Hyperoliidae
Description: partial 16S ribosomal RNA
Source: RNAcentral